Molecule: ribosomal RNA, 388 nt
Filed under: uncultured bacterium
Lineage: Bacteria
Description: bacterial SSU rRNA
Rfam family: Bacterial small subunit ribosomal RNA
Source: RNAcentral
GACGAACGCUGGCGGCGUGCUUAACACAUGCAAGUCGAGCGGUAAGGCCCUUUCGGGGGUACGACGAGCGGCGAACGGGUGAGUAACACGUGGGUGACCUGCCCUUAGCUCUGGGAUAAGCCUGGGAAACUGGGUCUAAUACCGGAUAUGACUCCAUGACGCAUGUUGUGGGGUGGAAAGCCUUGUGCGGCUAGGGAUGGGCCCGCGGCCUAUCAGCUUGUUGGUGGGGUGAUGGCCUACCAAGGCGACGACGGGUAGCCGGCCUGAGAGGGCGACCGGCCGCACUGGGACUGAGACACGGCCCAGACUCCUACGGGAGGCAGCAGUGGGGAAUCUUGCGCAAUGGGCGAAAGCCUGACGCAGCGACGCCGCGUGAGGGAUGACGGCC